GACGAACGCUGGCGGCGUGCUUAACACAUGCAAGUCGAACGGAAAGGCCUCUUUCGGGGGGUACUCGAGUGGCGAACGGGUGAGUAACACGUGAGUAACCUGCCCUUGACUUUGGGAUAACUUCAGGAAACUGGGGCUAAUACAGGCUAGGAGCUCCUGCUGCAUGGUGGGGGUUGGAAAGUUUCGGCGGUUGGGGAUGGACUCGCGGCUUAUCAGCUUGUUGGUGGGGUAGUGGCUUACCAAGGCUUUGACGGGUAGCCGGCCUGAGAGGGUGACCGGCCACAUUGGGACUGAGAUACGGCCCAGACUCCUACGGGAGGCAGCAGUGGGGAAUAUUGCACAAUGGGUGGAAGCCUGAUGCAGCAACGCCGUGUGCGGGAUGACGGCCUUCGGGUUGUAAACCGCUUUCGCUCAUGACGAAGCUUUGUGUGACGGUAGUGGGUAAAGAAGCACCGGCUAACUACGUG
This 467-nucleotide ribosomal RNA is filed under the name uncultured bacterium. RNAcentral's name for it is "partial 16S ribosomal RNA". It matches the Rfam family "Bacterial small subunit ribosomal RNA", at positions 28 to 507 of the family's 1533-position model. The record is from RNAcentral.